Non-coding RNA from Vicugna pacos (alpaca), 1066 nucleotides. Lineage: Eukaryota; Metazoa; Chordata; Mammalia; Artiodactyla; Camelidae. The record is from RefSeq and is a predicted model, not a curated record.
ACUCUUAGGUUUAUUUCUGCUUUUUGAGUCUUGGUACUCAAAGGAUGUGGGAGAUUCCAUGAGAAUGAGUCCUUUGCAACGGAGAGGGAACAAAGCCUGCCUGCUCCUUUGGAAGAUAAUCAGCUGAGAGGUCUUGGAGGGAAAAGAGAAGUUAGAUGAAUAGAAGAUGAAUCACUGCCCCAGGUGAAGCAGAGAUGCCAUCUUUGGUUCCUUCCUCCUCAGUUCUUUGCCAACUUCAAUGACACUUUGAGUUGGGGAGAUUACCAGUGGAAGCCAAACCAAAGUGUUCAGGCAGAUUUCUUCCUGAAUAAGUUUCAUUGACUUGUCACUCUUUGGUGGCAGGGAUGUCUGGAUAACAACAUAGCACUGGGCUGAACAGGAAAAUCAUAAAGCUUUAACUUCGUGGGUCCUCUUCCUGCUCUUGCACUUCUGACCUUUCUCGGUCCUCUCAAACAUACUGACACGAUUCGCCGUGGGAAAGACAGGCUCUUUCCUCCCCAAGAGAACAGAGCUCUUGGACUCUUCCCUUCCUUGUGGAAUUGUGCUGGAGUGACAGGGGAGACGUCCUCUAGGGUGCUGCCCUGUGGACAUGCCUGCAAAGCCCAGCGCAGGUAAGUAACAGAGGCUCAGUACAUCCUGGUGCACUGCCAUUUACCAUCGGACCAGCCCAGCGCAAACAAGACAGGCGUCUUGUUAUGGAAAGUCGCCUCCACUCUCCACGCCUCCGCUUUCUCUUUGAUGCAUGUGCACCAGCGCCCAGCCUGCUGGCGGUGCUGCCCGUGGGGGCCUGUCAGAGCGACCCGAGAGUGCUCUCCCGGGGCUUGGCGUGGGACGGAGGACUGUGCUCUCCCCUUCAUUUCCUCCCAGCUCCCUCUCUCCCUUGUCUCUCAUCAUCAGAGGAUGAAACUCACGUCACUACUAGCUCUUGUUCCCUGGGGAGCGAUGCCCAAGCUGGUGACUAGGAAGGAGGACCCUUGACUGCCCGCCCCCUGCACCUGCAGCAGGUGAUGCAGCAGGGAGACAUCUGCCCUUGGGGACCUCGUGUAUGUGCUCUGCUCUUCGCAUC